RNAcentral lists this ribosomal RNA (1402 nucleotides) under Salmonella enterica subsp. enterica serovar Typhimurium. RNAcentral describes it as "partial 23S ribosomal RNA". It matches the Rfam family "Bacterial large subunit ribosomal RNA", at positions 187 to 1547 of the family's 2925-position model. The record is from RNAcentral. Lineage: Bacteria; Pseudomonadati; Pseudomonadota; Gammaproteobacteria; Enterobacterales; Enterobacteriaceae.
GGGGAACUGAAACAUCUAAGUACCCCGAGGAAAAGAAAUCAACCGAGAUUCCCCCAGUAGCGGCGAGCGAACGGGGAGGAGCCCAGAGCCUGAAUCAGCAUGUGUGUUAGUGGAAGCGUCUGGAAAGGCGCGCGAUACAGGGUGACAGCCCCGUACACAAAAGCGCAUGUGCUGUGAGCUCGAUGAGUAGGGCGGGACACGUGGUAUCCUGUCUGAAUAUGGGGGGACCAUCCUCCAAGGCUAAAUACUCCUGACUGACCGAUAGUGAACCAGUACCGUGAGGGAAAGGCGAAAAGAACCCCGGCGAGGGGAGUGAAAAAGAACCUGAAACCGUGUACGUACAAGCAGUGGGAGCACCCUUCGGGGUGUGACUGCGUACCUUUUGUAUAAUGGGUCAGCGACUUAUAUUCUGUAGCAAGGUUAACCGUAUAGGGGAGCCGGAGGGAAACCGAGUCUUAAUUGGGCGUUAAGUUGCAGGGUAUAGACCCGAAACCCGGUGAUCUAGCCAUGGGCAGGUUGAAGGUUGGGUAACACUAACUGGAGGACCGAACCGACUAAUGUUGAAAAAUUAGCGGAUGACCUGUGGCUGGGGGUGAAAGGCCAAUCAAACCGGGAGAUAGCUGGUUCUCCCCGAAAGCUAUUUAGGUAGCGCCUCGUGAAUUCAUCUCCGGGGGUAGAGCACUGUUUCGGCUAGGGGGCCAUCCCGGCUUACCAACCCGAUGCAAACUGCGAAUACCGGAGAAUGUUAUCACGGGAGACACACGGCGGGUGCUAACGUCCGUCGUGAAGAGGGAAACAACCCAGACCGCCAGCUAAGGUCCCAAAGUCAUGGUUAAGUGGGAAACGAUGUGGGAAGGCCCAGACAGCCAGGAUGUUGGCUUAGAAGCAGCCAUCAUUUAAAGAAAGCGUAAUAGCUCACUGGUCGAGUCGGCCUGCGCGGAAGAUGUAACGGGGCUAAACCAUGCACCGAAGCUGCGGCAGCGAACGUAUCACCCAAGACAACUUUACGGAGUUGACGAUUGACGGAGCGAAGCGACGUCAAAGCGUUCAUUAAAGUCGAGUUGGCUUAGGGAUACGUUCGUUGGGUAGGGGAGCGUUCUGUAAGCCUGUGAAGGUGUGUCGUGAGGCAUGCUGGAGGUAUCAGAAGUGCGAAUGCUGACAUAAGUAACGAUAAAGCGGGUGAAAAGCCCGCUCGCCGGAAGACCAAGGGUUCCUGUCCAACGUUAAUCGGGGCAGGGUGAGUCGACCCCUAAGGCGAGGCCGAAAGGCGUAGUCGAUGGGAAACGGGUUAAUAUUCCCGUACUUGGUGUUACUGCGAAGGGGGGACGGAGAAGGCUAUGUUGGCCGGGCGACGGUUGUCCCGGUUUAAGCGUGUAGGUGUGUGUUCCAGGUAAAUCCGGUU